GAACCUUCUGUGUCAUUGCUGUGAUCCCUGAGUUGGCUCUGGCCGGGAGCUCUCCCGCCCCCAUAGCCCUCGUUGCCUGUGCGAUUCUGUAUCCCACCGCUGUGCUCUGCCCGGAACUCCUCUGGGUUGGGCGAUGCCCUAAGACCGCCUCCCUUUAUGAGCUGUUGCACAAGAACCGAGGGUGGUUAGUAGUUCUCGACUGCUUUUGGAGGUACACCACGAGAAACAUGAAAACACCACUCAGUCUGUCCUAAAAACAGGAUCAAAAUCAGCUACAAACCCCUACAAAAAGACCAAGGACGCACCCAACCCUGAAAAUAAAGGCUUCAGAGACUGAGUGAGUCUAUUCCCACCCAUGGAACUGUAGAGUCCCUUUACAGUCUGCCAAGGAUUGGGCUCACUCCAACACACCUUGAUUUUCCCUGUGCUUCAUUGAUCUGCUCUCUGGAGUGAUGGGAUUCUGCUGACCUUCUUCUUUCCAUUCAUCUCACUGAGAAUCUUGAAGUUCAUCUUUUCCCACAGAAAACUUUUAGCAGGGAUAUUUUUCAUCUCCCAAGUUUGUACCAGAGUCUGCCCCAGAGUGUGAAGAUACAUCAAUGUUAUGAGGCAAGACAAGGAAAGAAGAGCAGGGAAAGUGAAGACCAUGCCACUAUAAGGCUAAUAAAGAAGUCCCUGAAAAGUUUUAAAAAGAGAAAAA
Long non-coding RNA from Haemorhous mexicanus (house finch), 697 nucleotides. RefSeq lists it as uncharacterized. The transcript is spliced from 3 exons. The record is from RefSeq and is a predicted model, not a curated record. NCBI's taxonomy places the organism in Eukaryota, Metazoa, Chordata, Aves, Passeriformes, Fringillidae.